Molecule: ribosomal RNA, 104 nt
Organism: Fukomys damarensis (Damara mole-rat)
Lineage: Eukaryota; Metazoa; Chordata; Mammalia; Rodentia; Bathyergidae
Source: Ensembl
GUCUGCAGCCUUACCACCGUGAGUGCAGCAAUCUCUGCUAAGCAAGGUCCAGCCUGGUUAGUACUUGAAUGGGAAACCACCUGUGAUAGCUGGUGCUGUGGGCU